UCCGUGCCAGCAGCCGCGGUAAUACGGAGGAGGCAAGCGUUAUCCGGAAUUAUUGGGCGUAAAGCGUCCGCAGGGGGCGCAUCAAGUCUGCUGUUAAAGGUCGGAGCUAAACUCCGGUAGAGCAGUGGAAACUGGUGCGCUAGAGGGCGACAGGGGUAGAGGGAAUUCCCAGUGUAGCGGUGAAAUGCGUAGAGAUUGGGAAGAACACCGGUGGCGAAAGCGCUCUACUGGGUCGCACCUGACCCUCAGGGACGAAAGCUAAGGUAGCGAAAGGGAUUAGAUACCCCUGUAGUCUUAGCCGUAAACGAUGGAUACUAGGCGUGGUUUGUAUCGACCCAAGCCGUGCCGAAGCUAACGCGUUAAGUAUCCCGCCUGGGGAGUACGCACGCAAGUGUGAAACUCAAAGGAAUUGACGGGGGCCCGCACAAGCGGUGGAGGAUGUGGUUUAAUUCGAUGCAACGCGAAGAACCUUACCAGGGCUUGACAUCCCGCGAAGUUUGGGGAAACUCAGACGUGCCUACGGGAACGCGGAGACAGGUGGUGCAUGGCUGUCGUCAGCUCGUGUCGUGAGAUGUUGGGUUAAGUCCCGCAACGAGCGCAACCCUCGUCCUUAGUUGCCAGCAUUAAGUUGGGCACUCUAGGGAGACUGCCGGUGACAAACCGGAGGAAGGUGAGGAUGACGUCAAGUCAGCAUGCCCCUUAUGCUCUGGGCAACACACGUCCUACAAUGGUCGGGACAAAGGGGAGCAAGCUCGCGAGAGUAAGCGAAUCCCAGCAAACUCGGCCUCAGUUCAGAUAGCAGGCUGCAACUCGCCUGCUGAAGGAGGAAUCGCUAGUA
Molecule: ribosomal RNA, 838 nt
Filed under: uncultured organism
Description: bacterial SSU rRNA
Rfam family: Bacterial small subunit ribosomal RNA
Source: RNAcentral